UAAAUUGACUUAGCGGCGGACGGGUGAGUAACGCGUGGGUAACCUGCCUUACACUGGGGGAUAACAGUUAGAAAUGACUGCUAAUACCGCAUAAGCGCACAGGGCCGCAUGGUCCGGUGUGAAAAACUCCGGUGGUGUAAGAUGGACCCGCGUCUGAUUAGGUAGUUGGUGGGGUAACGGCCCACCAAGCCGACGAUCAGUAGCCGACCUGAGAGGGUGACCGGCCACAUUGGGACUGAGACACGGCCCAAACUCCUACGGGAGGCAGCAUG
Molecule: ribosomal RNA, 272 nt
Filed under: uncultured bacterium
Lineage: Bacteria
Description: partial 16S ribosomal RNA
Rfam family: Bacterial small subunit ribosomal RNA
Source: RNAcentral